UACAGAGGGUGCAAGCGUUAAUCGGAAUUAUUGGGCGUAAAGGGUGCGUAGGUGGUUUGAUAAGUUAGAUGUGAAAGUCCUGGGCUUAACCUGGGAACUGCGUCUGAAACUGUCAAGCUAGAGUACUGUAGAGGAAGGUGGAAUUUCCGGUGUAGCGGUGAAAUGCGUAGAUAUCGGAAGGAACAUCAGUGGCGAAGGCGACUUUCUGGACAGAUACUGACACUGAGGCACGAAAGCGUGGGGAGCAAACAGG
This 253-nucleotide ribosomal RNA is filed under the name uncultured bacterium. RNAcentral describes it as "partial 16S ribosomal RNA". It matches the Rfam family "Bacterial small subunit ribosomal RNA", at positions 524 to 776 of the family's 1533-position model. The record is from RNAcentral.